UGGGGAAUAUUGCACAAUGGGCGAAAGCCUGAUGCAGCAACGCCGCGUGAGUGAUGAAGGCCUUCGGGUUGUAAAGCUCUGUCUUUUGGGACGAUAAUGACGGUACCAAAGGAGGAAGCCACGGCUAACUACGUGCCAGCAGCCGCGGUAAUACGUAGGUGGCAAGCGUUGUCCGGAUUUACUGGGCGUAAAGGAUGCGUAGGCGGAUUUUUAAGUGAGAUGCGAAAACCCUAAGCUUAACUUGGGGACUGCAUUUCAUACUGGAAAUCUAGAGUGCGGGAGAGGAGAAUGGAAUUCCUAGUGUAGCGGUGAAAUGCGUAGAGAUUAGGAAGAACACCAGUGGCGAAGGCGAUUCUCUGGACCGUAACUGACGCUGAGGCAUGAAAGCGUGGGUAGCAAACAGGAUUAGAUACCCUGGUAGUCCACGCCGUAAACGAUGAGUACUAGGUGUAGGAGGUAUCGACCCCCUUCUGUGCCGCAGUUAACACAAUAAGUACUCCGCCUGGGAAGUACGAUCGCAAGAUUAAAACUCAAAGGAAUUGACGGGGUC
RNAcentral lists this ribosomal RNA (550 nucleotides) under uncultured bacterium. Its description in RNAcentral is "partial 16S ribosomal RNA". It matches the Rfam family "Bacterial small subunit ribosomal RNA", at positions 355 to 920 of the family's 1533-position model. The record is from RNAcentral.